This 497-nucleotide ribosomal RNA is filed under the name uncultured bacterium. Its description in RNAcentral is "partial 16S ribosomal RNA". It matches the Rfam family "Bacterial small subunit ribosomal RNA", at positions 28 to 507 of the family's 1533-position model. The record is from RNAcentral.
GACGAACGCUGGCGGCGUGCCUAAUACAUGCAAGUUGAGCGCUGAAGGUUGGUACUUGUACCCACUGGAUGAGCAGCGAACGGGUGAGUAACGCGUGGGGAAUCUGCCUUUGAGCGGGGGACAACAUUUGGAAACGAAUGCUAAUACCGCAUAAAAACUUUAAACACAAGUUUUAAGUUUGAAAGAUGCAAUUGCAUCACUCAAAGAUGAUCCCGCGUUGUAUUAGCUAGUUGGUGAGGUAAAGGCUCACCAAGGCGAUGAUACAUAGCCGACCUGAGAGGGUGAUCGGCCACAAUGGGACUGAGACACGGCCCAAACUCCUACGGGAGGCAGCAGUAGGGAAUCUUCGGCAAUGGACGAAAGUCUGACCGAGCAACGCCGCGUGAGUGAAGAAGGUUUUCGGAUCGUAAAACUCUGUUGGUAGAGAAGAACGUUGGUGAGAGUGGAAAGCUCAUCAAGUGACGGUAACUACCCAGAAAGGGACGGCUAACUACGUG